GGGUACUGUUGAAGGCUUCGAUAAGGGGGCCGACAAAAGGAGAUGAGGGGGGACGGGAGAAAGAAAAGAAAAACAGAGAGAAGAAGAGACAAAAAAAAAAUAAAAGAAGAAGAGAGGAUGGGGACGAAGAAAGAGACGGGAAAGGAAGGCUAUGAUUUGGGGAUUUUUGGACUUGAGGGAGAGAAGCUAGAAGGUUUCAGUUGAUUUUCAGAAGCAAAGAUGAAGAAUUGCGAAUCUGAUCUCUUAGUGAAGGGUUUUAGCUUUGAGUUUGGUUAGUUGUUUCCGUUCUGCUCUAUGAUUCCAAAAGCAAAACUGUGGAUGGAAGGAGGAGAUUGAGGAGAGGUGUUCGCGUGUUGCAGCCUUUGUUAUUAUUAUUAUUUUUUUUGCUGGUAUUCAAAGCUUUGAGCCUUGUGGGUUUUCCUUUCUUGGUUGUUCUUGUUUUGGGUCUGCUUAAAAACUGAGGUCACUUUAGAUUUCUAUUCAAGAGAUUGUAAAGGCAGUAUUUGGAGAGUAGAAUUUUCUUUUCCAAUGUCUGUUAUUUAAGAAAAGGUUGUAAGCACUAUUUGAAGUACUUUACAUGAUUUAGUUGGUAUUCUUGUUAUCUUUUUAUUUUUGUAGAUUUCUCACUUGUGUUAUUUGAAAUCUAAUUCAUCCAAUAAUAAUGUUUUAGUCAA
This is a long non-coding RNA of Rosa chinensis, 674 nucleotides long. RefSeq lists it as uncharacterized. The transcript has 2 exons. Lineage: Eukaryota; Viridiplantae; Streptophyta; Magnoliopsida; Rosales; Rosaceae. The record is from RefSeq and is a predicted model, not a curated record.